RNAcentral lists this ribosomal RNA (1455 nucleotides) under uncultured Bordetella sp. Its description in RNAcentral is "partial 16S-23S ribosomal RNA intergenic spacer". It matches the Rfam family "Bacterial small subunit ribosomal RNA". The record is from RNAcentral. Lineage: Bacteria; Pseudomonadati; Pseudomonadota; Betaproteobacteria; Burkholderiales; Alcaligenaceae.
GAAGUUUGAUCAUGGCUCAGAUUGAACGCUGUGGCGGUCUUUACAUGCAAGUCCGAACAGCAGCCUGGACUUCAGUCUGGUGGCGAGUGGCGAACGGAGUGAGUAAUGUAUCGGAACGUGCUAAUGUAGCGGGGAUAACUACGCGAAAGCAGCAUUAAUACACAUGCGCCCUUCGGGGGAAAGCGGGGACCCGGCAGGCCUCGCACUAUUAGAGCGGCCGAUAUCGGAUUAGCUAGUUGGUGGGGUAACGGCUCACCAGGAAGAAGACGAUCCGUAGGCGCUGGUUUGAGAGGACGACCAGCCACACUGGGACUGAGACACGGCCCAGACUCCUACGGGAGGCAGCGAGCUGGGGGAGCUACGGACAAUGGAAACCCUGAUCAAACCGCGUGUGCGAUGAAGGCCUUCGGGUUGUAAAGCACUUUUGAAAAGCGCGGGAAAGAAACGGCAAGGAUAAUACCCCGUGCAACUGACGGUACCUGCAGAAUAAGCACCGGCCUAACUACGUGCCCAACAACCACUGGUAAUACGUAGAUUACAAGCGUUAAUCAAGUUACUGGGCGUAAAGCGUGCGCAGGCGGUUCGGAAAGAAAGAUGUGAAAUCAGAGCUUAACUUUGGAACUGCAUUUUUAACUACCGAGCUAGAGCAGUGUCAGAGAGGUGGAAUUCCACGUGUAGCAGUGGAAAUGCGUAGAUAUGCGGGAGGAACACCGAUGGCGAGGCAGCCUCCUGGGAUAACGCUGACAGCUCGUGCACAGCGUGAGAGCAAACGGGAUUGAAUGCCCUGGUGGUCCACGCCCACAAACGUGUCAGCUGGCUGUUGAAGCCUUCGGGCCUUAGUAGCCUGUAUGCUGCGAUGAAGUUGACCGCCUGGGAGUACGGUCGCGGGUAAACUCAAAGUCGGCAGGGACCACACCGGCGGUGGAUGAUGUGGAUUAAUUCGAUGCAACGGCGAGCCUUUACCUACCCUUAAACGUAUCUGAUCAAGAUUUGGGGUGCUCGCAAAGACGGAACACAGGUGCUGCAUGGCUGUCGUCAGCUCGUGUCGUGAGAUGUUGGGUUGAAGAAUCCCAUAACGAGCGCAACCCUUGUCAUUGGUGCUACGAAGGGCGUCUAAUGAGACUACCAGUGACAAACCGGAGGAAAAUUAGAGAUAAGCGUCAAGUCUCAUAUUACAUAUGGUGGGCUUCACACGUCAUACAAUGGUCAGGACAGGGUCGUAACCCGCGAAGGUAAUCCCAGAAACUUGAUCAUAGUCCGGAUGCAGUCUGCAACUCGACUGCGUGAAGUCCGAAUCGCUAGUAAUCGCAGAUCAGCAUGUCAUAGUAGAUACGUUCAGGUCUUGCCUAUGCGUCACAUCAUGGGGUAGGUUUUACCAGAAGUAGUUAGCCUAACCGUAAGAGGGCGAUUACCACGGUAGUUAUUCAUGACUGGGGUGAAGUCGUAACAAGGUAG